This 179-nucleotide ribosomal RNA is filed under the name uncultured Tricholomataceae. RNAcentral's name for it is "partial large subunit ribosomal RNA". It matches the Rfam family "Eukaryotic large subunit ribosomal RNA", at positions 40 to 213 of the family's 3401-position model. The record is from RNAcentral. Lineage: Eukaryota; Fungi; Basidiomycota; Agaricomycetes; Agaricales; Tricholomataceae.
AUAUCAAUGAGCGGAGGAAGAGAAACUAACAAGGAUUCCCCUAGUAACUGCGAGUGAAGCGGGAAAAGCUCAAAUUUAAAGUCUGGCGGUCCCUGUGGCCGUCCGAGUUGUAAUUUAGAGAAGUGUUAUCCGCGCUGGACCGUGUACAAGUCUCCUGGAAUGGAGCGUCAUAGGAGGGU